AAUCCAUGAUGUCGGCACCUCCUUAUCAUUAUCUUGAAAUGCUCUCAUGUCUCGUAUAGGGAUUCACCUUCAAAUUGUUCAAAAUUGGUGUUUUCUUGCUUCAACU
Molecule: small nucleolar RNA, 106 nt
Organism: Gossypium arboreum
Lineage: Eukaryota; Viridiplantae; Streptophyta; Magnoliopsida; Malvales; Malvaceae
Rfam family: Plant small nucleolar RNA R71
About the family: R71 is a member of the C/D box family of snoRNAs containing the C (UGAUGA) and D (CUGA) box motifs. Multiple nearly identical copies of this snoRNA have been identified in Arabidopsis, and it is thought to function as a 2'-O-ribose methylation guide for 18S ribosomal RNA.
Source: Rfam